UUGGAGGGCAAGUCUGGUGCCAGCAGCUGCGGUAAUUCCAGCUCCAAUAGCGUAUAUUAAAGUUGUUGCAGUUAAAAAGCUCGUAGUUGAAUUUCGGGAUCAAUAUUUCGGUCAUGCCGUUGGUAUGCACUGUUAUCAUUGAUUUCUCACCUUCUAAAGAACCGUAAUGCCAUUAAUUUGGUGUUACGGGGAAUUAGGACUGUUACCUUGUAAAAAUUAGAGUGUUUAAAGCAGGC
Molecule: ribosomal RNA, 236 nt
Filed under: uncultured fungus
Lineage: Eukaryota; Fungi
Description: partial 18S ribosomal RNA
Rfam family: Eukaryotic small subunit ribosomal RNA
Source: RNAcentral